UCAGGUGUCACAGCUCUUGGCUUGUCUCAACCAUGGCUCUGAUUUCUCUCCUUCUUCCUUUCCUCACUGUUGUCACAGGUUCUCUGGCCUCCUAUGUGCUGACCCAGAUUCCCUCCAUGUCUGUGGCUCUGGGGCAAACAGUCACCAUCACCUGUGCAGGAGAUCAGCUGGAUGAUAGGUAUGCUCAUUGGUACCAGCAGAAAAGGAGCCAGACUCCUCCUGAGCUUGUCAUUUACAAGGACAAGGAAAGACCAGAGGUCAUCUCUGACCGAUUCUCAGGCUCCAGCAGCAACAAGGUGGCCACAUUAACCAUCUCUGGGGUCCAGGCUGAAGAUGAGUCUGAUUACUACUGUCUGUCAUUUGAUGAUAAUACCAAGACUCACAAUGAUUUAAAGAGAUGA
Molecule: non-coding RNA, 401 nt
Organism: Monodelphis domestica (gray short-tailed opossum)
Lineage: Eukaryota; Metazoa; Chordata; Mammalia; Didelphimorphia; Didelphidae
Source: the annotation of a RefSeq genome assembly